CCUUGGCAAAAGUUGCAAGGUGUAAUCAUGGUAGAAGAAUACAGGUAGAUGUAUCAACGCUUGAUAACAUUGGUCUUCAAUUCGGAAAUAGGUUUGACAGUUCAUUGUCCCAGCAACUGUCGCAUCGACACAGACUUCUACCAUGGGUGUAUGAACAAUUGUAUUAGGUUUCAAAGCAUAAGGUAUGUACCAUCCAGUCGCUUAUCAACCUUUGUUGACACUAGACUUUUUCGCGCUGGUCGCUUUUUUCACAAACAAACACAACAAAUCAACACAAAAUCAAAACACAAACAAAACUCCAUUUUUUUCUUUUAUCUUGAUCAAACAAAUUUUUUGCGAAAUUUUUGCCAAGUCUUUUAUUUAAACAAUUAUGGAGGGAGUCGGAGACCCCCCUCCUCCACCUGUUCCCCCACCACCUAUUGGGGAUACCAAUAAAAGAAGAGCCAAAAACAUUGAAAAUGAUAAUAAAAGUUUUAAAAACAAUAAUGGCCAACCAAUAAAAAAUACCAACACCAAUAAAAUAAUUUCAUCCAAAACCACGGACAAAAUGGACACCGAAUACAAUUACAAUUCGCUAAAUGAUGGAAAUGUACUGUAUACACCAAACCAUCCAGGGCCAUUUUAUGUCAUAGUGUCGUCAGAAACGCCAAUCAGCUCUAGGAGGAAAAACUGCGAACUCCAUUUGUAUAUACGUCUAAAGCAAAUCAAUCUCACUAACUAUGCUUGCAAGUGUGUGGGAUAUAACACUUUUAGAAUGACGUUCAACAAUUUUGAAUCUGCCAACUUAUUUGCCACAAAUCCCAAUUUAAAAACUGUUGGAUUAAAGGCAUACAUCCCAGAGAGAUUUGUUCAACGUUUUUAUAUUAUCAAAAAUGUACCUACGUGCCUUUCUGCAAAUAUUAUAAAGGAUGAAAUUAUGCAAAACAAUGAAUGUAUGGAAGUAGUCUCAAUUUAUCGCUUUACUAGGAAAAAUGAUUCUGGUUUAAUCGUACCCACAGAAACUAUAAAGAUUGGUAUUAUUUUUGAUGGAAUUCCUACGAAAAUAUAUAUGUGUGGAACAAAAAUAACACCGGACUUGUAUGUACCACCUGUUCGGCUGUGUUUAAACUGCGGCCGUUUAGGCCACAUUGCUCUUCGUUGCAGGUCGACGAAGUAGUGUCUAAACUGUGGAAAAGAUAUUCUAUGUGCUACAAAUUGCAGUAAGGAAAAUAGAUGUUUAGAUUGUCGUUCUACAACAACCUGUAAAGAACUAUGCACGUCUCCAAGAUGUAUACUUUGCAACAAAAUAGAUCAUCUUGCAACAGAUUCCAAAAAUUGUUUGAAGUGGAAGUCUGAAAGAAAUAUUAGCAGCAUUAUGGCCCUAACAAACCUAUCUAGAAGGGAGAUUCUCCAAAAUUACCCAGAGACAAGAAAUCGUUUCCAAAUUCUUUCUGAACGUGAUUUUAAUAAUGAGUUCCCGCCUCUCUUAACAAACAGGACUCCAAAAAUUAAUAUACAUGAUGCAAUUAACAAAAAAAUUACAAGUAUUAAAUAUAGCAAAGUUGCGGCUCCAAUAACGAAAAAUCAACAUGCCAUUGCAAGCCCAAUCCAUGUAAAUCCAACCAAAGCAGUAUUUGAUCAUCAAAAUUUUUCUAAAGUGACAGAAAUAGAAAGAGCAUCAUUUUUAAGGCAAAUGUCCACAAUACUUACGUCUCUUAACUGCACAGAAGGUCUUGAUGUUUUAAAGAAAUUUCAACAAAUAGUCAUUCCAGCAUCAGCAAACAACCAAAGCCCAUAUACAUCAGAAGCCAAUGAAGAAAGCCAAUUAGUAA
Musca domestica (house fly) is the source of this 1811-nucleotide long non-coding RNA. RefSeq lists it as uncharacterized. The transcript has 2 exons. NCBI's taxonomy places the organism in Eukaryota, Metazoa, Arthropoda, Insecta, Diptera, Muscidae. The record is from RefSeq and is a predicted model, not a curated record.